CGGCUGCUAAUACCCCAUAUGCCGCGAGGUGAAAUGAAUUUCGCCUGAGGAUGAGCUCGCGUCUGAUUAGCUAGUUGGUGUAGGUAAUGGCUCACCAAGGCAUCGAUCAGUAGCUGGUCUGAGAGGAUGAUCAGCCACACUGGGACUGAGACACGGCCCAGACUCCUACGGGAGGCAGCAGUGGGGAAUUUUCCGCAAUGGGCGAAAGCCUGACGGAGCAACGCCGCGUGAGGGAUGAAGGCCUCUGGGCUGUAAACCUCUUUUAUCAAGGAAGAAGAUCUGACGGUACUUGAUGAAUAAGCCACGGCUAAUUCCGUGCCAGCAGCCGCGGUAAUACGGGAGUGGCAAGCGUUAUCCGGAAUUAUUGGGCGUAAAGCGUCCGCAGGCGGCCCUUCAAGUCUGCUGUUAAAAAGUGGAGCUUAACUCCAUCAUGGCAGUGGAAACUGUUGGGCUUGA
RNAcentral lists this ribosomal RNA (456 nucleotides) under uncultured bacterium. RNAcentral describes it as "bacterial SSU rRNA". It matches the Rfam family "Bacterial small subunit ribosomal RNA", at positions 157 to 645 of the family's 1533-position model. The record is from RNAcentral.